Molecule: ribosomal RNA, 440 nt
Filed under: uncultured bacterium
Lineage: Bacteria
Description: partial 16S ribosomal RNA
Rfam family: Bacterial small subunit ribosomal RNA
Source: RNAcentral
CCUACGGGAGGCAGCAGUGGGGAAUAUUGCACAAUGGGGGAAACCCUGAUGCAGCGACGCCGCGUGAGUGAAGACGUAAUUCGUUAUGUAAAGCUCUAUCAGCAGGGAAGAAAAUGACGGUACCUGAGUAAGAAGCCCCGGCUAACUACGUGCCAGCAGCCGCGGUAAUACGUAGGGGGCAAGCGUUAUCCGGAUUUAAUGGGUGGAAAGGGAGCGUAGACGGCAGUUGAAGUCUGGAGGGAAAGGCGAGGGCUAAACCCCCGGCUUGCUCUGGAAACUGUACGGCUGGAGUGCAGGAGAGGGAAGUGGAAUUCCUAGUGUAGCGGUGAAAUGCGUAGAUAUUAGGAGGAACACCAGUGGCGAAGGCGGCUUACUGGACUGUAACUGACGUUGAGGCUCGAAAGCGUGGGGAGCAAACAGGAUUAGAUACCCUUGUAGUC